Molecule: ribosomal RNA, 421 nt
Filed under: uncultured bacterium
Lineage: Bacteria
Description: partial 16S ribosomal RNA
Rfam family: Bacterial small subunit ribosomal RNA
Source: RNAcentral
AAUUUUCGGCAAUGGGGGCAACCCCGACCGCGCGACGCCGCGUGAGUGAAGAAGGUCCUCGGAUUGUAAAGCCCCGUUGUAAGGGAAGAACCGUACCAGUAGGGAAUGACUGGUACCUGACGGUAACUUACCAGCUAGCCACGGCUAACUACCUUCCAGCAGCCGCGGUAAUACGUAGGUGGCAAGCGUUAUCCGGAAUUAUUGGGCGUAAAGGGAGCGCAGGCGGCUUAUUAAGUCUGAGGUUAAGGCUCGGGGCUCAACCCCGUGAUGCAUUAGAAACUGGUAGGCUAGAGUGCAGGAGAGGUGAGUGGAAUUCCAUGUGUAGCGGUAAAAUGCGUAGAUAUAUGGAGGAACACCAGUGGCGAAGGCGGCUCACUGGCCUGUAACUGACGCUGAGGCUCGAAAGCGUGGGGAGCAAAUA